RNAcentral lists this ribosomal RNA (254 nucleotides) under uncultured bacterium. RNAcentral describes it as "partial 16S ribosomal RNA". It matches the Rfam family "Bacterial small subunit ribosomal RNA", at positions 79 to 334 of the family's 1533-position model. The record is from RNAcentral.
CUAAGUUUGAUGGCGACCGGCGCACGGGUGAGUAACACGUAUCCAACCUGCCGAUGACUCGGGGGUAGCCUUUCGAAAGAAAGAUUAAUACCCGAUGGCAUAGUUCUUCCGCAUGGUAGAACUAUUAAAGAAUUUCGGUCAUCGAUGGGGAUGCGUUCCAUUAGGUUGUUGGCGGGGUAACGGCCCACCAAGCCUUCGAUGGAUAGGGGUUCUGAGAGGAAGGUCCCCCACAUUGGAACUGAGACACGGUCCAA